ACGACCCGAUCCCGGUUUUGGAGUUUGUUAGCCAGCUAAGUCAUAUGCAUUUACCUGUAAGACAAUUAUUUGCCUAUAAAUACCUACCUCUACAUUGAUUUCUCCUUUUGCAACAAGAAAAUAAAACUCAGAAGUUAGAGAGAAGAAGAAAUGAGAGAGAGAGAGAGAGAGAGAGUGAGAGAAAGAAAGAUAAAAACCAAUGCAUGUUGCCACCAGAGAUCGCCGGAACCACCACACGCCAGCACAUCGCCAAGCUCGUCAUCACCAUCAACCGCAGCUUAGAAUCGCCGGAAACCGCCGCCUCUUAAGCUUUGUUUUCGUCCGUUCAGUAAAUCAGCUAUAUCUCCAUAACCGUUGAGAAUCUCUCGCAUGCAAGACCAUCAUCGUGUUCCUCUCGUCGAGACGAAGCCGUAGACACCGACCACGCCGCAAUCGGAGUUCAGACGAAGCCGUACGCGCCUCCAAAAGUUACGCCGACUGCGCGCGUUUCUUCCACGCGCCGCCGCCGGAUAUCGCCUCCGCCGUCUUCCGCCACCGUCCUCCGCCGCAUCUCCGCCGCUGCCAGAAGUCGCCUCCGCCGCAGCUCCGCCGCCGCCGGGAAUCGCCUCCGCCGUCGCCGCCAACAAACUUUCCGAUAUGGAGUCUAUUUGAGCAGCUGGAGUUCAUAAACACUAUUUUUCUAUUGCUAAGGUGAGACAAAUAAGUAUGUGAUAUUUGGACGGACUUGGUGCUACUGGACUUUUCUUUCGGAUUUUAUUUGGGCUUGGGUGAGCGUUAUUGGGUUUAUGGGCUUUUAUAUUAUGGGAUAUUGUUGGUGGCCCGUCGUCCUUAGUGAGAAGGAGACGGAUGUCACAUUGUUGUAUGAUGACGCGUCGGUGGUGACACGCUGUCCUCCAGAUAGGAGGUGACGGGUGUCGCAAUUUUGGUAUCAGAGCGGGGUUCCAUCCCGGUUCCGUCCGGGAUGGCGGUCAGGGGAUUCGGUUUUCAUCGGUUUUCAACGUU
Long non-coding RNA from Brassica rapa (field mustard), 1002 nucleotides. RefSeq lists it as uncharacterized. The record is from RefSeq and is a predicted model, not a curated record. Lineage: Eukaryota; Viridiplantae; Streptophyta; Magnoliopsida; Brassicales; Brassicaceae.